AAAUUUGCUUGUACCAGGCGGCA
This 23-nucleotide small nuclear RNA is filed under the name Arabidopsis thaliana (thale cress). RNAcentral describes it as "snRNA_03461". Lineage: Eukaryota; Viridiplantae; Streptophyta; Magnoliopsida; Brassicales; Brassicaceae. The record is from RNAcentral.